UACGAAGGGGGCUAUCGUUGUUCGGAAUUACUGGGCGUAAAGCGCGCGUAGGCGGGCGUAUAAGUCAGGGGUGAAAUCCCGGGGCUCAACCUCGGAACUGCCUUUGAUACUGGUUGUCUCGAGACCGGGAGAGGUGAGUGGAAUUCCUAGUGUAGAGGUGAAAUUCGUAGAUAUUAGGAAGAACACCAGUGGCGAAGGCGGCUCACUGGUCCAGUUCUGACGCUGAGGUGCGAAAGCGUGGGGAGCAAACAGG
RNAcentral lists this ribosomal RNA (253 nucleotides) under uncultured bacterium. RNAcentral's name for it is "partial 16S ribosomal RNA". It matches the Rfam family "Bacterial small subunit ribosomal RNA", at positions 524 to 776 of the family's 1533-position model. The record is from RNAcentral.